This 575-nucleotide ribosomal RNA is filed under the name Gymnangium sibogae. Its description in RNAcentral is "partial 16S ribosomal RNA". It matches the Rfam family "Bacterial large subunit ribosomal RNA", at positions 1833 to 2597 of the family's 2925-position model. The record is from RNAcentral. Lineage: Eukaryota; Metazoa; Cnidaria; Hydrozoa; Leptothecata; Aglaopheniidae.
GCCCUCACAACCAUUGAAGGUGUAGCCUGCCCUAUGGCCUCUACUAUAGAAGUAAAACUCGAAAAAAAAAGCCAAAUGGCUGCAGUAACCAUAACUGUAAAAAUGUAGCACAAUCAAUCGUCAUUUAAUUAAUGAAUAGUAUGAAUGGCUAAACGAAAAUCUCACUGUCUCAUAAUAUAACCAAAAAAAAUUAAAAUAACAGUCAAGAUGCUGUUUAAAAUUGUAAGACGAAAAGACCCUAUAAAGCUUAACUACUAACCCUAAAUAAAUCUUAGGGAAAAGGUAGUUUCAUUGGGGCGAUGGUUUUUAAAACAAAACAAAAACACAACAAAAAUAAUUUCAAUCAUUUACUGUACAACCCAUUAGUUUAACAGUUACAAAGUAGGUUAAACACGACCCAUUAACUCCUAGAAAAAAGGUUAAUGAUUAAUAAAUAAAAGCUACUUUAGGGAUAACAGAAUAAUUUUAUUCAGAAGUCCAAAUCCAAAAUAAAGUUUAUUACCUCGAUGUUGAAUUGAGAUAUCCCAGGGGUGCAAAAGCUCCUAAAGGUAGGUCUGUUCGACCAUUAAAAUCUC